UCUAAUAUGGCAGAUAAGUGCAAUGGAUUUAAGCUUCAUAUAUAAAGGUCACUCCUUUUAUUAGAA
Molecule: transfer RNA, 66 nt
Filed under: Cryptoperla kawasawai
Lineage: Eukaryota; Metazoa; Arthropoda; Insecta; Plecoptera; Peltoperlidae
Description: tRNA-Leu
Source: RNAcentral